UGUUUGAUGUUCUAACGUGGACCCGUGAUCCGGGUUGCGGACAGUGUCUGGUGGGUAGUUUGACUGGGGCGGUCUCCUCCUAAAGAGUAACGGAGGAGCACGAAGGUUGGCUAAUCCUGGUCGGACAUCAGGAGGUUAGUGCAAUGGCAUAAGCCAGCUUGACUGCGAGCGUGACGGCGCGAGCAGGUGCGAAAGCAGGUCAUAGUGAUCCGGUGGUUCUGAAUGGAAGGGCCAUCGCUCAACGGAUAAAAGGUACUCCGGGGAUAACAGGCUGAUACCGCCCAAGAGUUCAUAUCGACGGCGGUGUUUGGCACCUCGAUGUCGGCUCAUCACAUCCUGGGGCUGAAGUAGGUCCCAAGGGUAUGGCUGUUCGCCAUUUAAAGUGGUACGCGAGCUGGGUUUAGAACGUCGUGAGACAGUUCGGUCCCUAUCUGCCGUGGGCGCUGGAGAACUGAGGGGGGCUGCUCCUAGUACGAGAGGACCGGAGUGGACGCAUCACUGGUGUUCGGGUUGUCAUGCCAAUGGCACUGCCCGGUAGCUAAAUGCGGAAGAGAUAAGUGCUGAAAGCAUCUAAGCACGAAACUUGCCCCGAGAUGAGUUCUCCCUGAGACUUUAGGUCUCCUGAAGGAACGUUGAAGACGACGACGUUGAUAGGCCGGGUGUGUAAGCGCAGCGAUGCGUUGAGCUAACCGGUACUAAUGAACCGUGAGGC
RNAcentral lists this ribosomal RNA (712 nucleotides) under Salmonella enterica subsp. enterica serovar Stanley. RNAcentral's name for it is "partial 23S ribosomal RNA". It matches the Rfam family "Bacterial large subunit ribosomal RNA", at positions 2211 to 2917 of the family's 2925-position model. The record is from RNAcentral. Lineage: Bacteria; Pseudomonadati; Pseudomonadota; Gammaproteobacteria; Enterobacterales; Enterobacteriaceae.